RNAcentral lists this unclassified non-coding RNA (225 nucleotides) under plant metagenome. RNAcentral describes it as "partial contains small subunit ribosomal RNA, internal transcribed spacer 1, and 5.8S ribosomal RNA". The record is from RNAcentral.
UCUCCGUUGGUGAACCAGCGGAGGGGUCAUUACCGAGUUAUACAACUCCCAAACCCAUGUGAACUUACCUGUCGUUGCUUCGGCGGACCGCCCCGGGGCCCAUCGGCCGCGGAUCCACGGCGCCCGCCAGGGGCUCGAAAGACUCUUGUCUUUUUCUACGCAGACUUCUGAGUUGCAUUUAUUACAAAUAAAUCAAAACUUUCAACAACGGAUCUCUUGGUUCUG